CAAUAGCGUAUAUUAAAGUUGUUGCAGUUAAAAAGCUCGUAGUUGGAUUUCUGGUGGGAGCGAUCGGUCUGGCGCUUAGCGCGAGUACUUGCAUCGUCUCCGGCCAUCCUUGGGGAAAGUCUAUCUGGCAUUAAGUUGUCGGGCAGAGGAUCCUCAUCGUUUACUGUGAAAAAAUUAGAGUGUUCAAAGCAGGCUUAUGCCGUUGAAUAUAUUAGCAUGGAAUAAUAAGAUAGGACUUUGGUACUAUUUUGUUGGUUUGCGCACCAAAGUAAUGAUUAAUAGGGACAGUUGGGGGUAUUCGUAUUCCGUUGUCAGAGGUGAAAUUCUUGGAUUUACGGAAGACGAACUACUGCGAAAGCAUUUACCAAGGAUGUUUUCAUUAA
This 383-nucleotide ribosomal RNA is filed under the name uncultured eukaryote. RNAcentral describes it as "partial 18S ribosomal RNA". It matches the Rfam family "Eukaryotic small subunit ribosomal RNA", at positions 592 to 976 of the family's 1831-position model. The record is from RNAcentral.